AUUCGGACAGAAAACAUCAGAAGGAAAACCUUUAUAUGGCCCAAUGUCAAAGAUUCCAUCCGGUGUCAUUUUCCUUGUACCGGAAGUAUUUAAUUUGGCAUUUCUCAUGGCCUGCUAGCUGGCUAAUUUCUUUCAGCAUUUGUUUAUGAAAUAUAUAGCUAAAAUAGAAAUAUUUGUAAAGAGGAAAACCUGAAGAUCAGUAAUCUAAAUUAACAGCAAAAUAUAAUCAAAGAAAACAAAAGAAGAAAAAUAAUAAAGAUCUCAACUGAGAGCCUCCCAUUGUCAGAUUUUGACCUAGGACCAUCUUGGAAAAGGAUUCUUCUGUGAUUCAGAGGUGAAGCCCUUACAGUGAGGUUUCUUACUAAGCGAUUCAUUGGAGAAUAUGCUUCUAAUUUUGAAUCUAUCUAUAAGAAGCACUUGUGUUUGGAAAGGAAACAACUAAAUCUAGAAAUAUAUGACCCUUGUUCUCAAACACAGAAAGCAAAAUUCUCCCUCACAAGUGAGCUUCACUGGGCAGAUGGGUUUGUUAUUGUGUAUGACAUCAGUGAUAGGUCUUCAUUUGCUUUUGCAAAAGCACUGAUCUACAGAAUCCGGGAGCCACAAACUAGUCAUUGUAAAAGAGCUGUGGAAUCAGCAGUGUUUUUGGUUGGCAACAAACGAGAUCUUUGUCAUGUGCGAGAGGUUGGCUGGGAAGAAGGGCAAAAGCUGGCACUGGAAAACCGAUGCCAAU
Molecule: small RNA, 730 nt
Filed under: Pan troglodytes (chimpanzee)
Lineage: Eukaryota; Metazoa; Chordata; Mammalia; Primates; Hominidae
Description: processed transcript
Source: RNAcentral